CUGUGCUAUGUGAAUGGAAGAUGGUUGUUGUCAUUCUGCGGUUUAUAUAAUGAAAAGGUAAAAUCACAAAAAUACUGAACUUCGAGGAAAAUUCAAAACGGAUAGUCAUAAUUAAAGGGAAACUCAAAAGCUCUAGCACAUCAAACGAAUGGACAACAACUGUCGUAUUCGUGACUUUGUUUAUGCCUCUUCUUAUGUAGAAAGUGGUGGAUUGAACCUGGUUUCAUAGCUAGCUAAACCUCUCACUUGUAUGACAGUCGCAUCAAAUUGUACUAAAUAUUUUUUUAAUUUUUUUAUUUGUAUAUUUCUCUGUGCUAAGUGUUUCCGUUUAUUAGCAUUGUGUUCCUGUCAUAAAGUGUUGUCAUUUAAGCCACAUUUGAUUACAUUGCCAUAUAAGCGGGAGGUUUGGCUAGCCAUAAAACCAUGUGUUUCUCUCAGUUUUAGUUUGUAACCCGGAUUUGUUAUCUCUCAAUUGAUUUAUGAGUUUCGAACAGCGGUUUACUACUGUUGCCUUUAUUUUCCUCUCAUUAUAGUUGAUGUGUUUCCCAUGGGUUAAGUUUGUAGCCGGGAUUUGUUUUCUUUUAAUCGAUUUGUGAACAGGGUAUACUACUGUUUUGUUUGUGUUACAUAUUUGUUUUUCGCUCAUUUUUUUUAUACAAAUAAGGCCGUUAGAUUUCUCGUUUGAAUUGUUUUACAUUGUCAUUUCGGGGCCUUUUAUAGCUGACUAUGCGGUAUGUGCUUUGCUCUUUGUUGAAGGCCAUACAAUGACUAUAGUUGUUUAUUCCUGUGUUAUUUUGGUCUCUGGUGGAGAGCUGUCUCAUUGGCAAUCAUACCACAUCCUCUUUUUUAUAAGUAGAUUGAAUCAUGGGAUUAUAUGUAAUGGAAUAUUUCCUGCAGUCUGCAAGAGACUUGCAA
This 915-nucleotide long non-coding RNA is filed under the name Mytilus galloprovincialis (Mediterranean mussel). The record is from RNAcentral. Lineage: Eukaryota; Metazoa; Mollusca; Bivalvia; Mytilida; Mytilidae.